Molecule: ribosomal RNA, 250 nt
Filed under: uncultured prokaryote
Description: partial 16S ribosomal RNA
Rfam family: Bacterial small subunit ribosomal RNA
Source: RNAcentral
UACGGAAGGUCCGGGCGUUAUCCGGAUUUAUUGGGUUUAAAGGGAGCGCAGGCUGGAGAUUAAGCGUGACGUGAAAUGUAGCCGCUCAACGGCUGAGUUGCGUCGCGAACUGGUUUUCUUGAGUGAGUACGACGUGUACGGAAUUCGUGGUGUAGCGGUGAAAUGCUUAGAUAUCACGGAGAACCCCGAUUGCGAAGGCAGUGCACGAGUCCUUUACUGACGCUAAAGCUCGAAGGUGCGGGUAUCGAAC